UGUGACGUUACCAAACUGUUGCCUCGGCGGGGUCACGCCCCGGGUGCGUCGCAGCCCCGGAACCAGGCGCCCGCCGGAGGAACCAACCAAACUCUUUCUGUAGUCCCCUCGCGGACGUAUUUCUUACAGCUCUGAGCAAAAAUUCAAAAUGAAUCAAAACUUUCAACAACGGAUCUCUUGGUUCUGGCAUCGAUGAAGAACGCAGCGAAAUGCGAUAAGUAAUGUGAAUUGCAGAAUUCAGUGAAUCAUCGAAUCUUUGAACGCACAUUGCGCCCGCCAGUAUUCUGGCGGGCAUGCCUGUCCGAGCGUCAUUUCAACCCUCGAACCCCUCCGGGGGAUCGGCGUUGGGGAUCGGGACCCCUCACACGGGUGCCGGCCCCGAAAUACAGUGGCGGUCUCGCCGCAGCCUCUCCUGCGCAGUAUUUUGCACAACUCGCACCGGGAGCGCGGCGCGUCCACGUCCGUAAAACACCCAACUUUCUGAAAUGUUGACCUCGGAUCAGGUAAGAAUACCCGCUGAACUUAAGCAUAUCAAUAAGCGGAGGA
RNAcentral lists this ribosomal RNA (546 nucleotides) under Trichoderma viride. RNAcentral describes it as "eukaryotic LSU rRNA". The stretch from base 158 to 311 matches the Rfam family "5.8S ribosomal RNA". Lineage: Eukaryota; Fungi; Ascomycota; Sordariomycetes; Hypocreales; Hypocreaceae. The record is from RNAcentral.